This 862-nucleotide ribosomal RNA is filed under the name uncultured bacterium. RNAcentral's name for it is "bacterial SSU rRNA". It matches the Rfam family "Bacterial small subunit ribosomal RNA", at positions 8 to 917 of the family's 1533-position model. The record is from RNAcentral.
AGAGUUUGAUCCUGGCUCAGAACGAACGCUGGCGGCAGGCUUAACACAUGCAAGUCGAGCGCACUCUUCGGAGUGAGCGGCGGACGGGUUAGUAACGCGUGGGAACGUGCCCUUCUCUAAGGAAUAGCCACUGGAAACGGUGAGUAAUACCUUAUACGCCCUUCGGGGGAAAGAUUUAUCGGAGAAGGAUCGGCCCGCGUUAGAUUAGAUAGUUGGUGGGGUAAUGGCCUACCAAGUCUACGAUCUAUAGCUGGUUUUAGAGGAUGAUCAGCAACACUGGGACUGAGACACGGCCCAGACUCCUACGGGAGGCAGCAGUGGGGAAUCUAGGACAAUGGGCGCAAGCCUGAUCCAGCCAUGCCGCGUGAGUGAUGAAGGCCUUAGGGUCGUAAAGCUCUUUCGCCAGAGAUGAUAAUGACAGUAUCUGGUAAAGAAACCCCGGCUAACUCCGUGCCAGCAGCCGCGGUAAUACGGAGGGGGUUAGCGUUGUUCGGAAUUACUGGGCGUAAAGCGCACGUAGGCGGAUCAGAAAGUAUAGGGUGAAAUCCCAGGGCUCAACCCUGGAACUGCCUUGUAAACUCCUGGUCUUGAGUUCGAGAGAGGUGAGUGGAAUUCCGAGUGUAGAGGUGAAAUUCGUAGAUAUUCGGAGGAACACCAGUGGCGAAGGCGGCUCACUGGCUCGAUACUGACGCUGAGGUGCGAAAGUGUGGGGAGCAAACAGGAUUAGAUACCCUGGUAGUCCACACCGUAAACGAUGAAUGCCAGACGUCAGCAAGCAUGCUUGUUGGUGUCACACCUAACGGAUUAAGCAUUCCGCCUGGGGAGUACGGUCGCAAGAUUAAAACUCAAAGGAAUUGACGGG